Molecule: ribosomal RNA, 2632 nt
Filed under: Salmonella enterica subsp. enterica serovar Enteritidis
Lineage: Bacteria; Pseudomonadati; Pseudomonadota; Gammaproteobacteria; Enterobacterales; Enterobacteriaceae
Description: partial 23S ribosomal RNA
Rfam family: Bacterial large subunit ribosomal RNA
Source: RNAcentral
AAUCCAUAGGUUAAUGAGGCGAACCGGGGGAACUGAAACAUCUAAGUACCCCGAGGAAAAGAAAUCAACCGAGAUUCCCCCAGUAGCGGCGAGCGAACGGGGAGGAGCCCAGAGCCUGAAUCAGCAUGUGUGUUAGUGGAAGCGUCUGGAAAGGCGCGCGAUACAGGGUGACAGCCCCGUACACAAAAGCGCAUGUGCUGUGAGCUCGAUGAGUAGGGCGGGACACGUGGUAUCCUGUCUGAAUAUGGGGGGACCAUCCUCCAAGGCUAAAUACUCCUGACUGACCGAUAGUGAACCAGUACCGUGAGGGAAAGGCGAAAAGAACCCCGGCGAGGGGAGUGAAAAAGAACCUGAAACCGUGUACGUACAAGCAGUGGGAGCACAGGUUUACCUGUGUGACUGCGUACCUUUUGUAUAAUGGGUCAGCGACUUAUAUUCUGUAGCAAGGUUAACCGAAUAGGGGAGCCGGAGGGAAACCGAGUCUUAAUUGGGCGUUAAGUUGCAGGGUAUAGACCCGAAACCCGGUGAUCUAGCCAUGGGCAGGUUGAAGGUUGGGUAACACUAACUGGAGGACCGAACCGACUAAUGUUGAAAAAUUAGCGGAUGACCUGUGGCUGGGGGUGAAAGGCCAAUCAAACCGGGAGAUAGCUGGUUCUCCCCGAAAGCUAUUUAGGUAGCGCCUCGUGAAUUCAUCUCCGGGGGUAGAGCACUGUUUCGGCUAGGGGGCCAUCCCGGCUUACCAACCCGAUGCAAACUGCGAAUACCGGAGAAUGUUAUCACGGGAGACACACGGCGGGUGCUAACGUCCGUCGUGAAGAGGGAAACAACCCAGACCGCCAGCUAAGGUCCCAAAGUCAUGGUUAAGUGGGAAACGAUGUGGGAAGGCCCAGACAGCCAGGAUGUUGGCUUAGAAGCAGCCAUCAUUUAAAGAAAGCGUAAUAGCUCACUGGUCGAGUCGGCCUGCGCGGAAGAUGUAACGGGGCUAAACCAUGCACCGAAGCUGCGGCAGCGACACUGUGUGUUGUUGGGUAGGGGAGCGUUCUGUAAGCCUGUGAAGGUGUGUCGUGAGGCAUGCUGGAGGUAUCAGAAGUGCGAAUGCUGACAUAAGUAACGAUAAAGCGGGUGAAAAGCCCGCUCGCCGGAAGACCAAGGGUUCCUGUCCAACGUUAAUCGGGGCAGGGUGAGUCGACCCCUAAGGCGAGGCCGAAAGGCGUAGUCGAUGGGAAACGGGUUAAUAUUCCCGUACUUGGUGUUACUGCGAAGGGGGGACGGAGAAGGCUAUGUUGGCCGGGCGACGGUUGUCCCGGUUUAAGCGUGUAGGUGUGUGUUCCAGGUAAAUCCGGUUCACUUUAACACUGAGGCGUGACGACGAGGCACUACGGUGCUGAAGCAACAAAUGCCCUGCUUCCAGGAAAAGCCUCUAAGCAUCAGGUAACAUCAAAUCGUACCCCAAACCGACACAGGUGGUCAGGUAGAGAAUACCAAGGCGCUUGAGAGAACUCGGGUGAAGGAACUAGGCAAAAUGGUGCCGUAACUUCGGGAGAAGGCACGCUGACACGUAGGUGAAGUGAUUUACUCAUGGAGCUGAAGUCAGUCGAAGAUACCAGCUGGCUGCAACUGUUUAUUAAAAACACAGCACUGUGCAAACACGAAAGUGGACGUAUACGGUGUGACGCCUGCCCGGUGCCGGAAGGUUAAUUGAUGGGGUCAGCGCAAGCGAAGCUCCUGAUCGAAGCCCCGGUAAACGGCGGCCGUAACUAUAACGGUCCUAAGGUAGCGAAAUUCCUUGUCGGGUAAGUUCCGACCUGCACGAAUGGCGUAAUGAUGGCCAGGCUGUCUCCACCCGAGACUCAGUGAAAUUGAACUCGCUGUGAAGAUGCAGUGUACCCGCGGCAAGACGGAAAGACCCCGUGAACCUUUACUAUAGCUUGACACUGAACAUUGAGCCUUGAUGUGUAGGAUAGGUGGGAGGCUUUGAAGUGUGGACGCCAGUCUGCAUGGAGCCGACCUUGAAAUACCACCCUUUAAUGUUUGAUGUUCUAACGUGGACCCGUUACCCGGGUUGCGGACAGUGUCUGGUGGGUAGUUUGACUGGGGCGGUCUCCUCCUAAAGAGUAACGGAGGAGCACGAAGGUUGGCUAAUCCUGGUCGGACAUCAGGAGGUUAGUGCAAUGGCAUAAGCCAGCUUGACUGCGAGCGUGACGGCGCGAGCAGGUGCGAAAGCAGGUCAUAGUGAUCCGGUGGUUCUGAAUGGAAGGGCCAUCGCUCAACGGAUAAAAGGUACUCCGGGGAUAACAGGCUGAUACCGCCCAAGAGUUCAUAUCGACGGCGGUGUUUGGCACCUCGAUGUCGGCUCAUCACAUCCUGGGGCUGAAGUAGGUCCCAAGGGUAUGGCUGUUCGCCAUUUAAAGUGGUACGCGAGCUGGGUUUAGAACGUCGUGAGACAGUUCGGUCCCUAUCUGCCGUGGGCGCUGGAGAACUGAGGGGGGCUGCUCCUAGUACGAGAGGACCGGAGUGGACGCAUCACUGGUGUUCGGGUUGUCAUGCCAAUGGCACUGCCCGGUAGCUAAAUGCGGAAGAGAUAAGUGCUGAAAGCAUCUAAGCACGAAACUUGCCCCGAGAUGAGUUCUCC